UACGUAGGGUGCAAGCGUUAAUCGGAAUUACUGGGCGUAAAGCGUGCGCAGGCGGUUUUGUAAGUCUGACGUGAAAUCCCCGGGCUCAACCAGGGAAUUGCGUUGGAGACUGCAAGGCUAGAAUCUGGCAGAGGGGGGUAGAAUUCCACGUGUAGCAGUGAAAUGCGUAGAGAUGUGGAGGAAUACCGAUGGCGAAGGCAGCCCCCUGGGUCAAGAUUGACGCUCAUGCACGAAAGCGUGGGGAGCAAACAGG
Molecule: ribosomal RNA, 253 nt
Filed under: uncultured bacterium
Lineage: Bacteria
Description: partial 16S ribosomal RNA
Rfam family: Bacterial small subunit ribosomal RNA
Source: RNAcentral